Molecule: unclassified non-coding RNA, 379 nt
Filed under: soil metagenome
Description: partial contains 5.8S ribosomal RNA, internal transcribed spacer 2, and large subunit ribosomal RNA
Rfam family: 5.8S ribosomal RNA (bases 1-120)
Source: RNAcentral
GAUGAAGAACGCAGUGAAAUGCGAUAAGUAAUGUGAAUUGCAGAAUUCAGUGAAUCAUCGAAUCUUUGAACGCACCUUGCACCCUUUGGCAUUCUGAAGGGUAUGCUCGUUUGAGUGUCAUUGUACUCUCACACUCCCGAUCUUUGCAUUGGGAGCAGUGGACUUGGGUUUGCUGCUUCACCGUCGCUUACCUCAAAUAGGUUAGUGCAACUCUUGGUUGGACAUAGUACGGCGUGAUAAGUGUUCUUCGCCGGUGCCUCGCAAAGAGGGUGGCCGAUCGGGAUGUUGUGCUCCAAACCGUCUUCGGACAAUCUCUGACGACUUGACCUCAAAUCGAGUAAGACUACCCGCUGAACUUAAGCAUAUCAAUAAGCGGAGA